Long non-coding RNA from Esox lucius (northern pike), 829 nucleotides. RefSeq lists it as uncharacterized. NCBI's taxonomy places the organism in Eukaryota, Metazoa, Chordata, Actinopteri, Esociformes, Esocidae. The transcript has 3 exons. The record is from RefSeq and is a predicted model, not a curated record.
ACCACUAGGGGCAGUGCAAAGUGGAAUUAGUUGGGUUCCCACCAAAAUAAAAACAAACUUGUUGACAGCCGGUCAAUUUGAAAUUAUCCCAACCAAGAACACUACUUAAAUUCACCAAAUUUGUCUUUUGCGGCUCAUGUGGGAAACAUUUUCAGUUUUUGGCUGACGCUGAAGACGACGGACCAUCAUCGGACAACCUCUCUGAAGAGGAUCUAAUUCUUAAGUACUUCAGAAAUGGCCAUAAUUACAAUGCUGUUUUGAAUUUCUUGGAAACUAAACAUAACCUUAAAAUGAGCCUUUGCUGAAUGGCCCUGGACAGCAUUACGGGUACCGCACAAUGUGGCAGACAUUGCAUCAGAAGUAUGGUGAGAAGGCAAGACGUCAUGCUUAUGCUUGCUGAUGUUGAUCCAUCAGGUGUUGAACAACACUCAAGACGAAGAUUUGUGAGAAGAGUUUAUCAUUCCCUGGGACCAAACCAUGUUUGGCAUGUAGAUGGAUACGACAAAUAAAAACCAUAUGGUUUGGCAUUUAGUGGCUGUAUUGACGGUUAGUCAUGCAAAGUAAUGUGGUUGAUAUGUGGAGCAAGCGACAAUGAUCCAGAGGUCAUAGCUCAACAUUAUCUGCAUUGUGUCACUGAAUUUGGAGUCAUAUCAAUUUUGCAGGGGCUCCAAGUCAUAUAUAUGGCUCCUCAACCUCAAACCAGCAAAUUGAAAGCUGGUUGUCAUACUUCAGAAAACAAAUGUAUUGUCAUAACCAUUUAUACAGAUUUCUAUAGGAGUAUUAAUUUAGUUUAAAAAUAUUGUGAUGAUGGGUCUGUGUACUGUCAGUG